UGAGUAACCUGCCCUUAACUCUGGGAUAAGCCUGGGAAACUGGGUCUAAUACCGGAUAUGACUCCUCAUCGCAUGGUGGGGGGUGGAAAGCUUUUUUGUGGUUUUGGAUGGACUCGCGGCCUAUCAGCUUGUUGGUGAGGUAAUGGCUCACCAAGGCGACGACGGAUAGCCGGCCUGAGAGGGUGACCGGCCACACUGGGACUGAGACACGGCCCAGACUCCUACGGGAGCAG
This 233-nucleotide ribosomal RNA is filed under the name uncultured bacterium. RNAcentral describes it as "partial 16S ribosomal RNA". It matches the Rfam family "Bacterial small subunit ribosomal RNA", at positions 118 to 347 of the family's 1533-position model. The record is from RNAcentral.